Molecule: ribosomal RNA, 448 nt
Filed under: uncultured bacterium
Lineage: Bacteria
Description: bacterial SSU rRNA
Rfam family: Bacterial small subunit ribosomal RNA
Source: RNAcentral
GACCAGACUCCUACGGGAGGCAGCAGUGGGGGAUAUUGCACAAUGGGGGAAACCCUGAUGCAGCGACGCCGCGUGGGCGAAGAAGUAUUUCGGUAUGUAAAGCCCUAUCAGCAGGGAAGAAGAAAUGACGGUACCUGAGUAAGAAGCACCGGCUAAAUACGUGCCAGCAGCCGCGGUAAUACGUAUGGUGCAAGCGUUAUCCGGAUUUACUGGGUGUAAAGGGAGCGUAGACGGCCAUGCAAGCCAGGGGUGAAAGCCCGGGGCCCAACCCCGGGACUGCCCUUGGAACUGCAUGGCUGGAGUGCGGGAGGGGCAGGCGGAAUUCCUGGUGUAGCGGUGAAAUGCGUAGAUAUCAGGAGGAACACCGGCGGCGAAGGCGGCCUGCUGGACUGCGACUGACGUUGAGGCUCGAAAGCGUGGGGAGCGAACAGGAUUAGAUACCCGUGUA